UCUUGUACUCACCGCCCGUCAAGUCAAGGGAGCUGGGGAUGCCCGAAGGUCUGCCUCGCGCAGGACUACGGCAAAUUCAGUGACAAGGACU
Molecule: ribosomal RNA, 91 nt
Filed under: uncultured bacterium
Lineage: Bacteria
Description: partial 16S ribosomal RNA
Source: RNAcentral